Molecule: ribosomal RNA, 253 nt
Filed under: uncultured bacterium
Lineage: Bacteria
Description: partial 16S ribosomal RNA
Rfam family: Bacterial small subunit ribosomal RNA
Source: RNAcentral
UACGUAGGGGGCUAGCGUUGUCCGGAUUUAUUGGGCGUAAAGAGCGUGUAGGCGGCCAGGUAGGUCUGGUGUGAAAACUCGAGGCUUAACCUCGAGAUGUCAUCGGAAACCAUCUGGCUAGAGUCCGGAAGAGGAGAGUGGAAUUCCUGGUGUAGCGGUGAAAUGCGCAGAUAUCAGGAAGAACACCCGUGGCGAAGGCGGCUCUCUGGGACGGUACUGACGCUGAGGAACGAAAGCCAGGGUAGCGAACGGG